UGGGGAAUAUUGCGCAAUGGGGGAAACCCUGACGCAGCAACGCCGCGUGGAGGAAGAAGGUCUUCGGAUUGUAAACUCCUGUCUUCUGGGACGAAGUAUGACGGUACCAGAGGAGGAAGCCACGGCUAACUACGUGCCAGCAGCCGCGGUAAUACGUAGGUGGCGAGCGUUGUCCGGAAUUACUGGGCGUAAAGGGCGCGUAGGCGGUUUUUUAAGUCAGAUGUGAAAACCCGGGGCUUAACUCCGGGAGUGCAUUUGAAACUGGAGAGCUUGAGUGCAGGAGAGGUAAGUGGAAUUCCUAGUGUAGCGGUGAAAUGCGUAGAUAUUAGGAGGAACACCAGUGGCGAAGGCGACUUACUGGACUGUAACUGACGCUGAGGCGCGAAAGCGUGGGGAGCAAACAGGAUUAGAUACCCU
RNAcentral lists this ribosomal RNA (417 nucleotides) under uncultured Gracilibacter sp. Its description in RNAcentral is "bacterial SSU rRNA". It matches the Rfam family "Bacterial small subunit ribosomal RNA", at positions 355 to 788 of the family's 1533-position model. Lineage: Bacteria; Bacillati; Bacillota; Clostridia; Eubacteriales; Gracilibacteraceae. The record is from RNAcentral.